Long non-coding RNA from Hemicordylus capensis (graceful crag lizard), 2652 nucleotides. RefSeq lists it as uncharacterized. The record is from RefSeq and is a predicted model, not a curated record. Lineage: Eukaryota; Metazoa; Chordata; Lepidosauria; Squamata; Cordylidae. The transcript has 3 exons.
UGACUUCUGCUGCUGUCCAGACUGUCGGAACCUCGGCUGGGAGAUGUCGCGAAAAGACUGCUGCGGUUUCUUCCAGGAGGGGAACUUGUCUUGUCUGUCCUGACGGGGACGAAAGGACGACCGGAAACCCGAAGGAGGAAACAGAGUUAGAGGAAAACUGCUUGCGCUCUUGGCGCUGUGCAGAAGCGGAAGGCAUCGCCUUCUUUUUAUCCUUCCCCUCUACCAAUACAGGUUCCAAAAUGUCACCAAAAAGCUUGUUCCCCUUAAAAGCCGAAAUGGCCAAAUUGGACAUGGACUUUUGGUCCACCCUCCAAUGCUUCAGCCACAGGUGACGCCUGACCGUGACAUCGGAGGCCCUAGCCCUAGCUGAAAGUUGCAUUGCAUCCAAGGAGCUAUCAGCCAUGAAGGCCAAGGCCUUGCCAAGCUUAUUCAGGCCCUGCCUCAGAGCCAGCAGCUCGGGGGGCACCAGGGGCAGUAACUCCUUAACCCAUAAUACCGAGGCGCGGGCAAAAAUAGAAUUGGCCUUAGAAGCCCGCAUAGCCAGGGAAGAGGCUUUGAUGUGAAUUCAGUUCGUCCCUGGGUCCGCCUUAAGCCAAUCAAACAGACACAGUGGGAAUCAAUUAGAGGCUUGGUUUAAUGCUCUGCAGAAGCAGGUAGACAAUGGGGCUCACGCUCCACAUUGAAUACAAAUUGGUUAUAGGUGCAUCUUACAUUUAUACAGACAAUCUGAAUGAUGCUGACAUAGUAUACGUGGCAGUAAAAUGGUGGACUAAGUAUCUAGUACGCAUGCGAAUGAUUCAUUGUUCAUCUGGUGAUCACUCCUUAUAUGGUUACAUCCUGUUUUAUUAACUUCUCAGCAAAGAACGGUGAGAACCAAGUUUCUUUAGAUACAUUUUAGUGGAGAGAGAUAACGACAUUGGCCGUAUGUCUCUGAGCUUGGCUGGGGUUACUUUAAGUUAGAAUUAGGUUUUCUAAGCAAACUUGGAGAUGCUUUGGUAUUCUAAGUAAAAUGGAGUUACUUUGGUUUUCUAAAACACAUCAGCUUCAUGGGAUCUGCGCAGGGCAGCAUCGCAUUUUUUGUCAUCGUGGUUACGUAAGACCUCGUCUCCAUCCCUGGGCAGGACAGCGCCGGUCACCAGGGCUGCCACUUCAGCGUCCACUGGAGGAACCUGGAGUGUGUCCAUCACCGCCUUGGUGGUGGUAUAAAAGCGCUUAAUCCCAGGGGGAGGGCCCUUGGCUUCAAUGGGGCGAUCCCACUCCGAGCGGAUAAGGUCCAAGAAGAGCUGGGGGCAGGGCACCACAACCUCAGGAGCCUUCAAGGAAGGCAGAACUGCGGGGUCCCCUUCGGUGGGAUCCUGCGGGGGAGAUACUACCCCCCCCAAUCGCAGAGUCUUCCAGGCCUUGUGCAACAGGACCGGGAAAUCAGGCGGUGAAAACAGACGCUCCCCAGACUACGAUACCCCAUGCAGUGCUGCCUCCGGCCACCCGCUGUGCCCCAAUACGGAGGACCAAGAAAAAGACAAUGGGGAGGACCAAGAAAAAGAUCACGGGGAGGACCAAGAAAAAGAUCACGGGGAGGACGGACGAGACCCUCCAGGCCUCUGUCCAUCAGCUGGCCGGAACAGCUGCCAGAGCAAGUGAAGACAUCAAAGAGAUCCUCGCCCUGACCCAGGAGAAUGGGAGGAAGAUGGCCACUGCCCUGGAAGGGUUGUCUGCUAGCAUCACUGAGCUGAAGGCAGCUUUCCAAAGGAGCGUGGGAGGACGCGGCCCCUCUCUGCACUUAUACCCCCACUGAUGAACCUCCCCAUGUUAUCAAGGCGUUUCCUUCCUCUUCUUCCUUCUCCGCCCCCCUUGGAUCCCUGAUGAUGGAGCUGGAGGACAUCAGCACCAUCCCCCAGCAGAAAGCGAGCACUGCAAGCCACCCCCUUCCAACCCCCACCAGUGCCCCCCCUCACAGGGAUUCCCAGAUUUGUAGUGAACAGCUGGGGAUCCCUGUUAGAGGGGACACUGUCCCCCACCCCAGCGAUUGGUCGUUGAUGAUAGCAAUGGACAUCCUCUGAGGCUCUUCCAGUCACCCCCCCCCCCAAAUCCCCAUCCCUGCCGAGGGGUUCAACACCAAGGAGAAGAGGAAGGGAACUGUCCCUUGGAGAGAGCUGCAUUAUGAUCUCUAGGAAAGGGAUCUCUAGGAACCUAUAAAGCCCAAAACAGCUUGGGCCCUGGGUAUUUAAGAGAACGUCUUCUUGGUCAUGAACCCCACCGCCCAUUGAAGUCAUCUGAAGAGGUCCGCCUGCAUUUGCCACCGGCUCGUCUGGUGGCCACUCAGGGCCAGGCCUUCUCCAUCGCUGCCCCAAGGCUUUGGAAUGUGCUCCCUAGAGAAAUCAGAGCCUCCCCAUCUCUGACAACUUUUUAAAAGUCUUUGAAGACACAUCUGUUCACCCAGGCUUUUAGCUGAUAUUGUUUUGAUGGUGUGAAUGUUGUUUUUAGAAGAUUGUUUUAAAAAAAUUAAACUGUUGUUUCUUAAAUUUGUUUUUAAAUUUCUUGUUUUUGUUUUUAACCAAUGUUUUACUUUUGUUUUUAUCUUGUAAACCGCCCAGAGACACAAGUUUUGGGCAGUAUAAAAAUAUGUUAAAUAAAAUAAAUAAUAAAUAAUAA